AGACCCGAAACCCGGUGAUCUAGCCAUGGGCAGGUUGAAGGUUGGGUAACACUAACUGGAGGACCGAACCGACUAAUGUUGAAAAAUUAGCGGAUGACCUGUGGCUGGGGGUGAAAGGCCAAUCAAACCGGGAGAUAGCUGGUUCUCCCCGAAAGCUAUUUAGGUAGCGCCUCGUGAAUUCAUCUCCGGGGGUAGAGCACUGUUUCGGCUAGGGGGCCAUCCCGGCUUACCAACCCGAUGCAAACUGCGAAUACCGGAGAAUGUUAUCACGGGAGACACACGGCGGGUGCUAACGUCCGUCGUGAAGAGGGAAACAACCCAGACCGCCAGCUAAGGUCCCAAAGUCAUGGUUAAGUGGGAAACGAUGUGGGAAGGCCCAGACAGCCAGGAUGUUGGCUUAGAAGCAGCCAUCAUUUAAAGAAAGCGUAAUAGCUCACUGGUCGAGUCGGCCUGCGCGGAAGAUGUAACGGGGCUAAACCAUGCACCGAAGCUGCGGCAGCGACACUGUGUGUUGUUGGGUAGGGGAGCGUUCUGUAAGCCUGUGAAGGUGUGUCGUGAGGCAUGCUGGAGGUAUCAGAAGUGCGAAUGCUGACAUAAGUAACGAUAAAGCGGGUGAAAAGCCCGCUCGCCGGAAGACCAAGGGUUCCUGUCCAACGUUAAUCGGGGCAGGGUGAGUCGACCCCUAAGGCGAGGCCGAAAGGCGUAGUCGAUGGGAAACGGGUUAAUAUUCCCGUACUUGGUGUUACUGCGAAGGGGGGACGGAGAAGGCUAUGUUGGCCGGGCGACGGUUGUCCCGGUUUAAGCGUGUAGGUGUGUGUUCCAGGUAAAUCCGGUUCACUUUAACACUGAGGCGUGACGACGAGGCACUACGGUGCUGAAGCAACAAAUGCCCUGCUUCCAGGAAAAGCCUCUAAGCAUCAGGUAACAUCAAAUCGUACCCCAAACCGACACAGGUGGUCAGGUAGAGAAUACCAAGGCGCUUGAGAGAACUCGGGUGAAGGAACUAGGCAAAAUGGUGCCGUAACUUCGGGAGAAGGCACGCUGACACGUAGGUGAAGUGAUUUACUCAUGGAGCUGAAGUCAGUCGAAGAUACCAGCUGGCUGCAACUGUUUAUUAAAAACACAGCACUGUGCAAACACGAAAGUGGACGUAUACGGUGUGACGCCUGCCCGGUGCCGGAAGGUUAAUUGAUGGGGUCAGCGCAAGCGAAGCUCCUGAUCGAAGCCCCGGUAAACGGCGGCCGUAACUAUAACGGUCCUAAGGUAGCGAAAUUCCUUGUCGGGUAAGUUCCGACCUGCACGAAUGGCGUAAUGAUGGCCAGGCUGUCUCCACCCGAGACUCAGUGAAAUUGAACUCGCUGUGAAGAUGCAGUGUACCCGCGGCAAGACGGAAAGACCCCGUGAACCUUUACUAUAGCUUGACACUGAACAUUGAGCCUUGAUGUGUAGGAUAGGUGGGAGGCUUUGAAGUGUGGACGCCAGUCUGCAUGGAGCCGACCUUGAAAUACCACCCUUUAAUGUUUGAUGUUCUAACGUGGACCCGUUACCCGGGUUGCGGACAGUGUCUGGUGGGUAGUUUGACUGGGGCGGUCUCCUCCUAAAGAGUAACGGAGGAGCACGAAGGUUGGCUAAUCCUGGUCGGACAUC
Molecule: ribosomal RNA, 1647 nt
Filed under: Salmonella enterica
Lineage: Bacteria; Pseudomonadati; Pseudomonadota; Gammaproteobacteria; Enterobacterales; Enterobacteriaceae
Description: partial 23S ribosomal RNA
Rfam family: Bacterial large subunit ribosomal RNA
Source: RNAcentral